UGCGUAGGCGGAAUAUUAAGUCAGUGGUGAAAUCCUGCGGCUCAACCGUGGAACUGCCAUUGAUACUGAUAUUCUUGAAUGUAGUUGAGGUAGGCGGAAUGUGUAAUGUAGCGGUGAAAUGCUUAGAUAUUACACAGAACACCGAUUGCGAAGGCAGCUUACUAAACUAUGAUUGACGCUGAGGCACGAAAGCGUGGGGAGCGAACAGGAUUAGAUACCCUGGUAGUC
This 228-nucleotide ribosomal RNA is filed under the name uncultured bacterium. Its description in RNAcentral is "partial 16S ribosomal RNA". It matches the Rfam family "Bacterial small subunit ribosomal RNA", at positions 568 to 795 of the family's 1533-position model. The record is from RNAcentral.